This is a long non-coding RNA of Pantherophis guttatus, 764 nucleotides long. RefSeq lists it as uncharacterized. The record is from RefSeq and is a predicted model, not a curated record. Lineage: Eukaryota; Metazoa; Chordata; Lepidosauria; Squamata; Colubridae.
AUUUGCUCCAAAAACGUGGGUAGAUCUUUAAAAGGCCAUCCGAAUCCUUCCAACUUCUCCCUACGGGCUACAGCACUGGGAAAAAUCCAGCAGGUUCUGACAGAUUCUGGAGAACCGGGCAACAAGGAAUGCACAGGUCUGGAUUGGGAGGCCAGAGUUGGGUACUAAGCUGACUAUCUACAAGACCGCCUGCUACCACCAAUAGCCUCCCACCGACCAGUUCGCUCCCAUAGAGAGGGGCUCCUCCGGGUGCCGUCGGCCAAACAAUGUCGACUGGCGGCCCCCAGGGGGAGAGCCUUCUCUGUGGGGGCACCUACUAUCUGGAACGAGCUCCCCCCCGAGAUACGGAGGAUUCCGGAUCUGCGUACCUUCCGUCGCACGUUUAAGACGUUCCUAUUCCAGCAAGCCGGCCUGACCUAAACUUCUCCUCUUUUAAAUGGGAAUUUUAAAUUUGGUUUUAAAUUAUUGGGGUUUUAAAUAUGGUUCAGCCAAAUUUAUUUAACUUGUUUUAUUUCUAUUUUAAAUUUUGUAUUUAUAUGUUUUAUUUCAUGGCUGUUCACCGCCCUGAGUCCUUCGGGAGUAGGGCGGUAUACAAAUUUAAUAAAAUGAAAAUGAAAUGAAUGACGUCUCUGAGGGUAUAAAAGGACGCCAUACCUUCCCCAAGGUGUGGCUAUCUCCUCGCAUGCAUUGUAUCUGUAUGUUCUGGAUAUAGUUCCACCCAGUAUUUUGUUUUUGGCCAUAAAUAAAAUCUGGUUUUUUUGCAA